GCGUGGGUGGCGCUGAAAAACUGCGACUUAAAAAGAUGAAGUCUCUGGAGGUGGAGGCUGCUAAAUAUUCUAAAUUGACGGACCUAUUUGGUGCCGGGGUCACCACCCCAGCAGGUGCUGCUGCGCCGGGAGACGAGCGAGUGGAGGCAUACAUGGUUGUUCUGAUAUAUUUGAGGAGUCGUUCUCCCUCUGUUCUAUAUGUGGACUUGUUCUCUCAUUUGGGACCACUGUUAGAAUUUGGUUGACCACUUGACAUGUGAGAGCUUGCGGAGUUGUUCCCCCUCCGUCCAUUUUCAAGGAUUUGCUCCACUUCACCACUUUGUGGCUACUGAGAAGUCUAUGAUUUGUUGAGUUGACCACCCUAUAUAUGAGAGCCUAAGGAGUUGUUUUCCCUCUGUCCCCUUUUGAGGACCUGCUUUGUCUCCUCCAUCAUUCACUGGGCCACUUUUUGGUUCCUGGGCUUAUUUAAUGUGGUUUUCCUGACCUGCUAGAAGUUCUUCUAUGAUGCUUGAGUCUUCCAUCAUAUCUGAGAGCUUCGUCUUGACUUUGUCACGAAUUUGGUGAGGAGUAGAGCUGGCUGUCUGCGGACCAGGAAGUAGAGCAAUACAUACUUGUGCACAUACACGUAUAUGAGAAUGCAUAUCUAUUCAGACCUGUAACCCAUGUCUUAGACUUUUCACACAGCUAUAUAUAUAUAUAUAUUUUUUUCCAAUUCUCUAUUUAUGGUUUCAUAAUGACUGAGUCACCGUUGAGUGAGUGAGUUUCAGCUCUAAUGCUGCUACUGUCUGUAAUAUGUUUCUAUUCAGAUUAUUUGUCAGGAUAUUUUUUUGUUAUUAUUGUCCGAGUCUGGUUUGAACUAAUACUGGGCUUACACCAAAAGAUGUUCACUGUCACAGACUAAAAACUGAAAGGGUAGCAUAAGGGUUCUUCCCGUUAGUCUCGUCCCACCCCUAGUCAUGACAUAACUUCUGUUGUGAUUUGACACUAUAAUGAAUAAAGAUUGAUUGAUUGAUUGAU
Gymnodraco acuticeps is the source of this 1017-nucleotide long non-coding RNA. RefSeq lists it as uncharacterized. The transcript has 6 exons. The record is from RefSeq and is a predicted model, not a curated record. NCBI's taxonomy places the organism in Eukaryota, Metazoa, Chordata, Actinopteri, Perciformes, Bathydraconidae.